GCUAACAAGCUAAUGGUGGCUUUGACUUCUGUGUUUACAGAGGAACUUUUACCCUUAGUGAGGUGGUUUUGGACUUUCAGCAGUUUUUGACCGCUAAUGUGGGACACAGAGGCCGAGUGGACUGGUUAUACUGGGACAAGGAGGCCGAGUGGACUGGUUAUACUGGGAUUGUGAGGAGGCUGAGUGAACUGUUACUUUAGGCUAUGCCUUGACCAAGAGAAGUUGAACUUGUCUGGAGCAGAUUGAAGAGGACUUCAUGGUACUCAAGACUCAGACUGACGUUCAAACAGCCUGUCAGCUCUCCCGUCCUCAAGAAGGCUCAGUGUGUGCAUCAUAUCCUCGCAUCAGCCCGGUGUGUUUUGCUCUUGGUCUGCCUCUGUCUGGGCUGGAUACAGCUCAGCAUACGUAUGGGACUUGAGAUGACAUCACAGCUGCUCACUUGAGAGUUGCCCCCUCUUUCUCAAAUCGAAACAGGGUUGUACCGUUGUCUUUGCCCUUCACAAAGCUCUCCCACUCUCGGAACCACUGCAUGCUGAUGCACAGGAUCACCGUCGGAGCCUCUUCAGCCUGAAACUCUUUAUUCAGCUACAGACGAGAGAAAACUGCUCGUUCAACAUCCAACACAGAGACAUAUUCCUGCACAGUGCCAUGGUGACAGAUGACUGACAGCAGGUCGUAAGUGGUGACCUGGGAUGGACUCUCUUUAGCCAGGAAAGGUCGCAUGUCGAGGCCCUCCAACGGGAAGGACACGUGGCUGCUAAUCUUGAACGAAUACAUGACCUCGUGCCGGAAGCGUUUCAGGUGUACGCAGGUCCUGCAGAGCGGAGGGGACUGGAGCGAGGUUGACUGGAGGACAGUUUGGGAUGCAGCUCCUGAAUGGUUCGCACAGGACUGCAGGGAGUGGACUGGGGCUGGGGCAUUGACGCUUCAUUGUCUGGCUCUAGAAAACAGCACAUUGAAUGCACAGAAUUGACAGGAGCCCCCUCCUCAGCUGCUGUAUCCACAUCAGCAUCCUCAUCCAUCUCUUGCGAGCCUCCACGAAGGGGUGAGCCAGACACCCUCCUUUCCUUCAGCCUCUCCUUCUCCGAGAUCACCCCGCC
Molecule: long non-coding RNA, 1100 nt
Organism: Epinephelus moara (kelp grouper)
Lineage: Eukaryota; Metazoa; Chordata; Actinopteri; Perciformes; Serranidae
Exons: 6
Source: RefSeq, a predicted model, not a curated record